GCCGUCUGAACCCUUCGGGGGGACGACGGUGGAAUGAGCGGCGGACGGGUGAGUAACACGUAAAGAACCUGCCCAUAGGUCUGGGAUAACCACGAGAAAUCGGGGCUAAUACCGGAUGUGUCAUCGGACCGCAUGGUCCGCUGAUGAAAGGCGCUUCGGCGUCGCCCAUGGAUGGCUUUGCGGUGCAUUAGCUAGUUGGUGGGGUAACGGCCCACCAAGGCGACGAUGCAUAGCCGACCUGAGAGGGUGAUCGGCCACACUGGGACUGAGACACGGCCCAGACUCCUACGGGAGGCAGCAGUAGGGAAUCUUCCACAAUGGACGAAAGUCUGAUGGAGCAACGCCGCGUGAACGAUGAAGGCUUUCGGGUCGUAAAGUUCUGUUGUAAGGGAAGAACAAGUGCCGCAGGCAAUGGCGGCACCUUGACGGUACCUUGCGAGAAAGCCACGGCUAACUACGUGCCAGCACGCGCGGUAAU
Molecule: ribosomal RNA, 478 nt
Filed under: Exiguobacterium profundum
Lineage: Bacteria; Bacillati; Bacillota; Bacilli; Caryophanales
Description: bacterial SSU rRNA
Rfam family: Bacterial small subunit ribosomal RNA
Source: RNAcentral